RNAcentral lists this ribosomal RNA (274 nucleotides) under uncultured bacterium. RNAcentral describes it as "partial 16S ribosomal RNA". It matches the Rfam family "Bacterial small subunit ribosomal RNA", at positions 523 to 796 of the family's 1533-position model. The record is from RNAcentral.
AUACGGAGGGUGCAAGCGUUACUCGGAAUCACUGGGCGUAAAGGACGCGUAGGCGGGUUGUCAAGUCAGAUGUGAAAUCCUACAGCUUAACUGUAGAACUGCAUUUGAAACUGGCAACCUAGAGUAUGGGAGGGGGAGAUGGAAUUAGUGGUGUAAGGGUAAAAUCCGUAGAUAUCACUAGGAAUACCGAAAGCGAAGGCGAUCUCCUGGAACAUAACUGACGCUAAGGCGUGAAAGCGUGGGGAGCAAACGGGAUUAGAAACCCUAGUAGUCC